CAUCUCCUCAUCCAUGGUGUCAUCGGGGUGAAAUGACGUCUAAAAACCUUUCAGGUGUUCGUCUCCGCCCGUUUACAUGGAUCCGCCUGAAACACGGAUCCUUCCCAGUACAGGUUAAUCUGUGCUGAAAUUAUGCGGAAUGCUGCAGCGUCCGGAAAAAAUAGAACACUAGUGAUAGGCUGCGGAGUCUGGCAAUCCGCAGCGUAAUGGAAAGAAGCCAGUGGAAAUCGACACGUUAACUUGAAUGGAAACGAUCAACUGCGAUUGGUGCAUACAGUCUUUUCGCUGCCGUUCCACAUGUGGUGGAAAUGGGGGGUAACACUCUUUUGGAAAGGGUAACUGGACUUUCCACCACAUCUGCAAUGGCUCCACUACAAAAUGGCGCCAAUUCCUAUCGGACACGUCUGUGAGGCGAGUUUUGUGGCAGAUUUUGGACAGCGUGAGUCCAGUUAGCCUUUCAACAAAGAACUAGAAAUCAUAGAUGCUGCAUCCUCAGUUUCAAACAACAUCUCCAGGUUUAGGAGCAACAUCUGCUGCCAUCCAGACUAAGACUGUUUCAGGGAAGACCUUCAUAUGAUCCCAAACCACAUUCUGACAACAGGGAUUACAACAGCAUGAACCUGGUCUCCUGGGUUCCCAGUUGUAAACAGAGAAAUGCAACAUGGUGAACUUUCCCUGUCUCUACGUUUUUGUCUGAAAAUACCCAGAAUAUUUCAUAAAUACUGAUCAGUGCGUAAACACACGACAGUCCCAGCUGCACUUAUUUCUUUAUUUUAAUUAACCUGAAUGUUUUUGACACUUUUGAUAUUUUUUAAUCGAGACAAAUUUGCAGGCUCACCUUACAUUGUCUUAUCUAAUUACUGAAUUAAAAUCACUCUUGUCAUUUUACUUUAUUCAUGCAUUCAUUUAGAGACCUCACUUCCAGCUUGAUUCCACCAUGAAGCGCCUCCUCGCUUUGCCAAAUCUAACAUCUUCCAUACAGGGAUCCUUCUGUGUUGUCCAUAAUGGAGUCUGUUCUCUUUGUGUAUGAAUUAAUUAGGCAUCAUCAGAACCCCCUUUGGACUCAUCGUGUAACUGGCAGUGAAAGAAAGAUUAGGCUGCUACACUCCCUGAGCUGUUCCUGGACCUGUGCCCUGUGUAAAUCUGUCUCCUCUGCUCCAACACGAGUCUCUACAUCCCUUACAUUACAUCCGCCCUCUCUGUUUGUUUUAUUUACCCCGGCAGCUUUGGCUUUACUUCCUCGAGAAAUAUCUGCGGCUCUGCCAGGUUGUCAUAUACGGCACCAAUCUUUCCCAAAGUAACCUCCAUCGCUGCCAACAAGCUCCCAGUUGUGGGACAACAUAUAGGCCCCAUCUUCCCUCUUUCCUGUCUUCUGUGCCCAUUUUCAGAGAUCUGUUGCCUCUCAUUAGUUCUUUGUUGCUCUCAAAUGUGCCAAUGACGGCCUCCAGCAGUAUGCAUUGUGCUUUGCUUGCACUGAUGGGAGAUUGCAGACUUCAGGUUGUUGAGCAGGCUGGUUGUUAUAAUGAUUGAGUGCUGCAGAAAUCACCUUUUGCCCUAUUUUAUGUUCUCUUGUAUGAACGAUGUGUCCCAGACAGACUCUCCCUCUCUGUCGCAUGUUCUACUUCAGAAACAGCCUCUUAAAUUCAAGGAGUAAGAUUUCCCCAGAGUUUGUCCCCAGGAUGCAGUUGACCUCAGAUUACACCGACAGCACUGGGCCUGCUGAGAUCUCUGUUCAUUGUUACUCACUGCCUUGUUUACAUGCCUACCUGCUCACACACUCAGAUUUCUGCUCAAUCAUUUCCUCAGUUUCUUACUAACUUGCUUUCUUCCUUGUAUACCUCCUCACUUUGUAAACUUAGUUCCUUACUCUCACCUACUUGCUUGCAUACAAACAUACUUAAUUCCCUAAAUACCUUAUUACUCAUUACUCCCUUAUUGCUUAUUUCCUGACAAACUUUCUUCGGUGCAUACUAACUUAGUCUAACUAGUCUCUGACGUCCUCCCUUACAUACUUACAAAGUAGCUCCCUUACUAAGUUCCUCUCAUGCCUACUUGCUUGCUCACUUACUUGCAUACUCACUUGUUUGCUAAGUCACUUGCAUCCUUGCCUACUCCCUUGUUCCCUUGCUCACUUGCUUGAUAACUGACUAGUUCCCUCACUCGCUAAGUUACUUGGAUGCUUGUCUGUUUACUUGCUUGCUAACUUUUUGCUAACUUUCUUCUUCACAUACUUGCUGACUUGCUCACAUACUUCCAUACCUGCUUGCUUGCAUAUUAGUAUGUAAACUUGCCCACUUGCGUAUUUCUGAACAAACUUUGUUAGGUGCAUACUUACUAACUUAGUCUCUGACCUCCUCUCUAACUUACUUACAAAUUAGCUCCCUUACUAACUUCCUCUCAUGCCCACUUGCUUACUUACUUAUCACUCACUCACUUGCCCAAUUGCUUGAUUACUGACUAGUUCCCUCACUUGCGAAGUUACUUGGAUGCUUGUCUGUUCAUUUGCUUGCCUACUUACUUGCUCACUUUUUGCUAACUUUCUUCCUCACAUGCUUCCUGACUUACUUGCAUACUGCCAUACUGCAUAUUAGCAUGUAAAUUGCUUACUUGCUAAUAUUCUGUCAAACUUUGUUAGGUGCGCACUAACUAUCUUUGUCUCUGACCUCCUCUCUAACUUACUUACAAAGUAGCUCCCUUACUAACUUCCUCUUAUGACUACUUGCUUGCUUACUUAUCGCUCACUCAUUUGCAUACUCAGUCAUUUGCAUGCUCACUUACUUACUUGUUCACUUUUUGCUAACCCUCUUCCUUACAUACUAGCUGACAUUCUUGCAUACUUCCAUACUUGCUUGCUUGCAUGUUAGUAUGUAAACUUACUCACUAGCUUAUUUGCAUACUUCCCUGCUUACAUACUUGCUUAUUUGGAUGCCAACUCUCUUGCUUGCUUACUUACCUACUCACUUGGUAGUAUAUCUCCUUACUUUCUUACCUACUUACUAGCUAACUCGCAUGCUCACUUGCAUCAUCCUUUUUCCUUGCGUACUUGCACUUUCAUAUUGCUAAUCUGACUGGCAGGUGUUCAUCAAGCAGGUAAAUUAAGCGUCAACUCCCCCUCUUUACUGUCUCUAUACUGUCUCUGUUUACCACCAGUUUUGAGCUGCAUUUUGGCAUCAUUACAUCUGUAACCGUCAAUGAAAGACUCUGGAUUUGGUUUUAUUCCUGUUUCCUGUGCCUUCAUCCAGGCAGACAUAAAAGUAAACUCAUCCUCCAACAUAUUUCUGCAGUUAUUCUGUCUCAUCGUCUUUGAAACUGAUCCAUCUCCAGACAUCCAUCUUCAUUUAAAAACGUUCAAACUCCAACCAUCUGAAAAAACAGCUUCCUUCAAAACACUUCCCCCAUCUUUGAUCUGUUAGUCUUCGUCUCUCCGUCUGUUUGUCUUCCCUCCUUUGUUUGUCUCCUCCUGAUGCUUCAUCAACCAGUCUUAGUGCUGAUCAUACCCAGCCAGCCAAAUAUAUUCAUUUCCCUGCAAUCCAAAUACCUUCAUAAAGCCUCCUGCUCUUCCAUAAACACAGCCAGCCUAUCCAUUUUCUUCUCAUUUUCGGGUGUAUUUUCUCCUCUCGGCUGCCUUAAUGCCUUCAUCAGACUCUGAACAAACAGCAGCUGUAAUGACUCCUGCAGACUCUGCAGCCUGUGCAUCUGCUAGAGGAUUUCCCCGAGAUGAAAAGAAAGUAUGAAAAAUAACGUCAAGCAGACCUUCGAGUUAAGAGCUGAUGAAAGCUGCUGUUGAGUGUUUUUUUUCCUUUCUGCAGCCAUAGAGCACAUUUGUGGUUUUUCCUCGUAUACUGACCUCUGUUCCUUUGUAGCUUUUGUUGUUUUGCAUUUCAAGCCCUCCUUGAUUCAUCCCCUGAUUUCCUAUUCUGGACAGACAUGCAAAACAUGCGUCUAAUAACCAGCAAUUUUACUGUCCCUGCUUUAACGGUGGGAGAGUGUUUCAUGCUUGAAGAAACAACCGUGGAGAAAAUAAGAACAACUUUUUGGUGUUUUUGGUUGAGGGUAUGGUUUGGGUUUUGCAGAUUGACCUGUUUAUUUCUGAUUUUGGAUCGUUUAGCUGAGGAAAGUUUUAAGCCAUCCAAUAGUGAAAGCAGAUAGUCAUCAAGGGUUGUAAGAUAACAGAGGAAAGUAAAUCAGUGUGUCGUCUGCAUAGCAAUAAAAGGAGCUGUAUUGUUUGCCAAGUAGCACGUGUAGAAGUAAAAGGAAAACAAAAAACAGACCAAGAACUACAUUUCGGCGAACACCGCAGGCAAUGAUAGAUGUCGAGGAGGAGUAUUUACUUAUCUUGUCCGCAAAUGUUCGAUGUAAAAGUUAAGAUCGAAACAAACAAAGUGGCUAAUCCUCGAACUUCAAACAAGAAGUCAUUUUAACUCCAAAUAUGAUUGGACGUCUCCUGAUUUUCACUAUCCAUUGUUUUGUGGCUGAGAGCUGGGAAAUGACCGGGGCCACAGUAACAACAUUCGAGUUUUCCACCCUGAGGAAGACACACGGGAAGACGGAGUAUUAGAGUAGGAGCCAAAAUAUAUUUGUUGAGGUACGUCACUUCCAGGGAUCCUCACUGAGGGGUGUGGCUUUGGUAUGUUUGGCGGGUUAUUUUAAUCUCACCGGUUUAGUCGGAUAAUUGGGUUGUGGUAAGCUUUGAUAAUUUUCUGUAGACCAUUUUUCACGGCCUCAUUCAUCCUGUUUUAACCUUUUGGCGCUGGAUCAGCGUGUUUACUUUUCCUUUUUGAACAAUAAAUCACUUUUUUAACACUCAAACUGGACUGAUAAUUGACAUGUCGCAGAUGCAAGCGAACCUUUUUCGUUGAAGGAAAACAGUCACUACAGGAAGUAAUGAAAUUACACUCAGACCUGGAGCGCAGAAAUUAAAUUACACACCUGCUGUGAUGCUAAACACAAAACCAGACAUUCAGCGUCUCACUAUUCCUCGCAGGUAAAAGAUCAUCUGUCCUGUUUGGGCCCUGAAAUCUACGGCGUAAAACCCGGUCCAUCUCCUGCUGCAGGCCUGUUCACACCACUUUGUCUCUGCUAUGAGAAAUCCUGAGUCUGCUGCACAGGCUUUAGUGAACAGUCACUUACUUGUCAUUCAGGACGUCACUGAGACUGAAGGUGAACCUGAAAUUAUCAUAUUUAUCACACAUCCAUACGCAGCCUUGGGUGAACACGUCAGCGAAAAUGUAAAAAUGAUUUAGGAGCUUUUCUUGGAUUUUCUUGAAAUGAAAACCUCAGACAUCCCCGAAUGUUUCUAUUAUCAGAAAUAUAUAAAUACUGUCUGCAAGUUGGAUAGCUGGGAGCCAAGAGGAGGAAACAGGAGUUAUAAAGUCUGAGCGUCAGAGACGGAGAGCGGACUGAGAUCAUAAAAAGACGGGGAGUGAGAUCUCUCUGCAGUUACAUUUCUCUGUUUUCUGUCUUCAUCUCGACUUUAAGUGUCUCGUCUUUAAUCAAAUAGACAUUCUGGAUAUUUUAGAAGUCAGAGAGAACUGAGCGUGCUCAGUACGAGUUUCACUCUAUAAUUCAUGACAGUCAAAUAAUGCAGGACGGGGUCCAAUAGUCAGAAUGUCUGCAGGGUCGAGCGACAGCAGCUUCCCUUUAACGACUUUAAACAAGCUGUAAAACAAGAUCAACAUGUCGGCUAAAUAAAUGUGAGCUGGUGUGAAUGAGGCUGGAGGUCUGUCUUCACACUGAGCAGGAGACUGAAGGAAAGCUGUUAAAGAUCCACUGCAGUCAGACUUCAUGUCUCUGCUUUCUGAGCUCAGGUCACUCAGAAGGAAAUUCAAGUAUUAAGUUUAUCACUCGGCGUACAAGAAAAGAAGAGCUGUAAAUCGCAGUUUCUUAAAUCAAAAAGUGACUAAAUCAUCAUAGAAGCUGUACAUACAAUCAAAACAAAGAGGUUGUUAAAACUGCUGCUAUCUUUGGUUAUGUCUCUUGUUAACACCCCUCUCUUUUAUUCGGUCAGAGUUCAUUAUGUUUAUUAUUAUUAUCAUCAUUAGUCUGACCUUGGUGUAAGAACUCACACUGACGAUUUUGACUCCAAAUCUCUUUGCAUGCUAUCAGGGCUGGGCGGUAAAACGAUAACGAUAUACUGUAUAUCGAAAAUUAAUUUCCCUCAAUAUCAAUAUAAAACACGAUCAAUAUGCUUCUCGAUAGUCGUCAUUCUGCCAUGUUUUGGUAGACUAUACGAAUAGCCAAUGAUAAGAGGAGUUGGUCCUGGUCCGCUUCACUCUGAACCAAUCAUGUGCUGAAUUAGAACCAACUGCAUCACAGCAGACAGCAGCUACACCCAACCAUAGCACUUGAACAGGUGAAGCCGACAGCACUGUUGGUGAGAAACAAAGAAAAUGAGUGCUACCCCCGACAGAAAUGACCAUGAAGGCUCAACAGAUGACCACAUCGAUGUCAACCACAACACUGGCGUUAGGAAAACGUCGGUGGUGUGGAGGUAUUUUGGUUUUUGGAGGUCGGACAUGAAGCAGAGUAAUGUGGACUGUAAAUUAUGUCGAGUACAUGUUCUCACAAAGUCGGGGAAUACCUCAAAUCUUUUUCACCACCUGAAGCAGCGCCACGCCGCAGAGCACGCGCAACGCAAAAGGUUACAAAGCCCAGCCGAAACAGACGACAAUUCAGUCCGCUUUCUCUAGAGCAACGCCUUACGACAAAACGUCAAAGAGACACAAAGACCUCACAGAUGCAGGAGAUUAUUGUGUUUUAAAAGACAUGCGACCAAUAAACACUGUUAAAAAAAAAAAUGAUAUCUUGAUUUAUAUCGAUAUCGACUGAUAUGGGAAAAAAAUAUAUCGUGGUAAACUUUUUUCCCAUAUCCCCAGCCCUACAUGCUAUCAUGCACGUACAUAUUUUAAAGGUGGGUUGUUUGUUCAGUCAGCUGGUGUAAAAAUGGAAAUACUGCAGAAAACUGGAUUUAACAGAAAACCAACAGUGAAAAUUAACAGACAGGAAACAGUCAACUCCUCAUUGUUGGAGCUCGCACAUUAGCCUCAGUGACAGAUCAUGAUGGUGCCGAGCUGUCAGAGGAGGAGAAAGGUAUUAUUAAACCUCACAGCAGAAGAACCCACUUUGGAGUUGAUAAUAAAGGUCAAAUAGUCUUUCCGCCUCAGUGAGUCUGCAGCCUCUAAUAAAUUAAACACGACAGAUGACGCCCGACUGAACUCAGGAAGUUUUUAACGCUGUCAAACUUUUCCUACUUUCUACUUUCAUUUUUAAAAGCCGGGGUGGUUUUUGGUUUUAUUUGACUUUGCAGGGUCUCCAGAUGGCAACGAUUUUGACAAAACGACAGAGACGACGGGCAACUGGGCUUUUCAAGUGACAAGCUGUUGUGCCGGUGAUGUGAACCCUCGCCGGGCUGACGGAGCUGACAGCUCACAUCCCAAUUCACAAAGUGUCACAUCAGGAAAUAAUGUAGAGAGCCGCAUAAAUAUUACACUCAGAAACCUGCAGUCGAGUGAUUCCUAAAUAUUAGGGUGAAUCUAUCUGAUUUAAGGUCGUUAUCCAUGUUGAAGGUAAAACUUAGUGAAGCGUUUCACUUUCCUGGACAUUUAUUCUUUCACUUUAAGGAAAUUUUUCGACCCUUUCUUUCUUUUUUUCUAAAUGCUUCCUCUAUUCCUGACUCUCACAGUAUCUGACGCUCUGCAGCUUCUCUUGCAUUUAACAGCCUCAGACCCGCGUAUGCAUAAAACCACAUUAAGUGGAGAUAUGAACUGCUCAGGCGUAGGGAGAUAUGGUCAAAAUGAAUUCACGAAUGAAGAAUUUCUCCCUCUCUUUCCAUCUCUUUUUCUAUUUGCCUCAAUUUCCCUAUAGUGUUUUUUCUUCCCCCUUUGAGAAAGCUGAGAGGAGAAACCGCUUCUAAAUUGACUGACAGAAGAAGAUACUUCGAUGACUGCUUUAACCGCUUAUUCCGGGAGCGCUCAUGUGUGAGGGGAGAAAAGGCUGGAAUGAUAGUUGCGUGCAUUUCAUUGUGCAGCUGCAGGAAUCCUUGCAGCUUCAAAAGAUAUCAUUUGUGAAGGCUCUUUAACAAUGCCUUCUGUUUGAGGGAGACUCCUCCUCUGAUGUGCGCGGGAAGAAAACUGUAUAUAUUAUCGUUAUAUACCAGCAAACACACACGUCUGUAUGCGUCUCCUUGGAAAUGCAUUUGUGAGAGCACAUAUGAGUGAGUGACUGUCCUCAGUGGAGCUGAUUGUUCUUCUGAGUAAACCAGCAUGUAAGAGUAUUUCUAAGUGAAGUCGGUUUGACUUUCAUGUCACCAGAAAGUGUUUGAGCAGAAAAAAAUCCUGUGCCUGAACAUUUUUUAUGCGAGGGGGUGUCACCACUAUAUGACAGUGGAGCUAUUGAUUAAUAUUGGAAGAUAUUAAUGAUUUAUAACAAUAAAAACAAUUGAUUUUUAUUUGCAGCGUAAUUUGCAGACGGUCCCUGCACACUCGCCCGGCUACCGACUGUGCAUAGAGAUCAGUGUCAUUCAUCCAGCUCGAAGAACGGCUUGUUUUUGUAAAACAAAUCGGUACCUUGUGUUUUAUUUUGGAAAGGACGCCGGAUUUUUUAUUUUGUGUCUAUGCCUGACCUCCUUUCCAGCACGGGUUGAAUUUAUGUGGCAUGCUGCAGUGUCUGGAAAAAAUAGAAACCUGGUGAUCGUCUACGAAGCCUGCUGAACCGCAGGGGGCCAGAAAGAAGCCUGUGGAAUUUGACACAUUAACUUGAAUGGAAACGGUCAGAGGCAAUCGGCGCCGAUGGCCUUUUUGCCACCGUUCUGCAUGUGGUGGAAUUUGGGGGUUAUACAGAGGAAAAAAGAUUGGGCCGAGAUCGGACCCUUGAGGGCAGGGCUUGAUGAUAACUAUUUUCAUAAGGAGCAUGUUCUCUUAAGUUGAAAAAGUAAAGAACUUUAGGGGCACGAUGAAAAUUGAUCAAAUAAUGUUUGUCUUAUUGGUCGACAUAAGUACAAUUAUUUAAAAUCAGUUUUAGGUCUUUUGGUCACAUGACAUGGAAGCUUUUGAAGGAAAACAGCCUUUUCUGAGAACAUCAACCAGUAAUUUAUUGACGGUCCCUUAUUCAACACCGACGUUGACAGUGAGGGUGCCGAGUAGAUUUAACCGCGCUGCUGUUGUUAUUCCCGGUUAUGGAGAGUGAGAAGACACCGGUAGAUCGGCAGAAUAUCCAACCUAAAACUUGUAGCCUCGGCUGAUUUUUUUAUGCGCACACGUGCCCCUGGAGACAUUUUACAAUUUGCGCUCAUCUAUUUUUAGUCGCAAAUGUGAGUGAAAUGGUCGCACUGUCGAGUCCUGCUUGAUAUCAAUCACCAAAUCAACAAAACAUGUUAGAAAGUGGCGAAUCAACUUUUGUCAAACACUAAAAAUACCGUCUCCACCGUCCGUUUACGUUUGUUUACAUCCCAGCAGCACAUUUUCAUGAUUAAACACCCACUGGUCAAAGCGCUGCGUGUAAACUCUUUAACGUAAAUAGAUUUUUUGAAGAACAUGUUCACUUCCUGAGUUAGAUUCAGUGAAAAAAGCCCUUAUAUCGAGGUUGUGGAGCUGCCAGUGCAGAAAAGCUGCUGAUGUGCACAGGCCCUAAGUCUUUUCCCUCUACGGCUAAAUCAGAGAAUAACUCGAUAAAAUAAGAACAUGAAUCCAGAGCAGUGAUAGAAACCAGACUCUAAUGGACAGGUCCUUUCACUGUGUACUUCCUUCACACUGAGACACACUAUCUCACACACACACACACACAUUGCCCACCCAUUAGACAGAAAGGAGGAAACUCGCUGCUCCAAUAGAUCAGGCUCAGACCAGUCAGCAGUAAACUUAUUGAUGAUACAGUAGAUUAUUGGUUCUGAUUAAUGAGCUGCUCCACACAGUGUGUCUCCUGUCCUACCUCUCCACAUACAUUAUGCAGAUUAGUGAUGCCAGUUUGGCCUCCAGCUGAGCUCUAUCGACAGUCUGAACAAAGGAGCUUUCACUCACAGCUCGCGCUGUAUCAGUGCAUCUGACCGAGAGCGGGCACAAAUCAAGUAAUUGAUAGUACAUUAGACCGCUGGAUGAUUCAGUUCCUGUCUCAUCCAUUAUACCAGGCAGUCCUUGUGAUAAGUCCAGACCCGGCUACAGGGAUUGAUUGUAAAGAAAAGAAGAAGAAAACGAGCCAACGCCUCAGAGGAAAUAUUUAUGUCAGCCUCUUCAAACUUGUUUACAAGGAGGAUGUGGAUUUAAAGACGCCUCCAUCUCAGCUCCAUCUCAGCAGACAUCCACCGAGUCUGUUUCCAACCAGUUAGUGAGGACGUCUGAGUUCAGUGUCAACCAACCUUAUAGCUUUGUUUUGAGGUAAAUGAGAUCAUCACAUAACUGUUAUAUCUGCUGCAUUAAAGGGAGAUUCCGGCGUAAAAUUAUUUUAAGGUCGAACACACCGAAACACAGAGUUAGACCCCCCCUCCAGAGAUGAAUGUUGCCGACUUCUUGCUUCUCUAGUUAUACCAACUUUAGUAACGACCGCAGGAUAGCAAUAAAGAGAGCCACGCCCUCAACCAAAACGCAACUCUAUAGCCACAAAUAAUGCUCAGAACAGCACCUAACUUCAUCAACAGGACAUAUAGGGUCACAGACAUAGUACUAGACACCAAACAUCUUUUUAACUUUGACUCAUUUCUUUAGCAAAGAGACUAAACACAACUCGCCUACUCUCUUCCAGCAGUCCAUUACGGACUGCAGCGGGGUGCCGCAGCUCAAGGAAGAACAUUUAUGAUCAUUUCUUCAUGGAAAUACAAUCAGACCGAGACGCUAAGACAGAAGAACUACCGCGUCUGUAAAAUGAUUAAUAUGAUAAAUAUUCCUUCAAUCAAUCAAACCUCAUUUUAAAGCACUUUUCACACAUGGAAUGAAGCACAAAGUGCUGUCCAUUCAUGCAGGAUAUUAAAAAAAAAAAAACAAUGAAAUAAAAUAAAUACAAAUACAAAUACCAAUACCAAACCCCACCCAGCCUCCCAGUCCCCAUUCAACACAUACAGCACUCACACACACUGAUGCACACACAAAAGACCAGAACUCGUCAACUUGCCACAGAUGACUGAGGGAACGCUACCUUGAGUUAAAAAAGAUGAGCAACCAAGAUAAAAUAUAAUAAAGGUGAUAAAGCGUUAAAAGUUAAUUAAAUAAAAGUCUUAAAAUCAAACAAUAAAAGAGAGUAAAUUCAAAAAAGAGGUAAUAAAACACAAAAUAAUUACUCUAGGACUAAAACAGCGUAAAAUCACAUAAUGCAGAUUAAAAGCCAGACUAAAAAGGGAGGUCUUUAGUUUACUUUUAAAAAUAUAAACAGGAGGUUCUUCAGACCAAAUACUUUCCUUGAAAUAUGAACUUCAAGGAAAUGAUAAAGAAAUUAUCACAAAUGUUGUUCCUUGAGCUGCGGCACCCCGCUGUAGUCCGUAAUGGACUGGCCUGAGGUCUCCCUACAAACAAGCGUCUGCUGGAGGAGCGUAGGUGAAUUGUAUUUAAUCUCUUUGCUAAAGAAAUGAGUCAAAGUUAAAAAGAUGUUUGGUGUCUAGUACUAUGUCUGUGACCCUAUAUGUCCUGUUGAUGAAGUUAGGUGCUGUUCUGAACAUUAUUUGUGGCUAUAGAGUGGCGUUUUGGUUGAGCGCGUGGCUCUCUGUAUUACUAUCCUGUGGUCGUUACUAAAGUUGGUAAAACUAGAGAAGCAAGCGGUCGACAACAUUCAUCUCUGGAGGGGGGGUCUAACUCAGUGUUACUGUGUGUUUGACCCUAAAUUAACUUUACGCCGGAAUAUCCCUUUAAUCUCGGUGAUAUAACCUGCUAACCAACAGUUCGUGUGACUCGAGCUCCUGCUGCAGAAAUGGGCUGUGAGAGACGUGAUUUUCUUCGGUUAUUGCAGAGUAAACAGGGAGAUGCAGCCAAAAGUGAUUUAUCACACAAAGCAAGAGCGUCUACAUGUGCACAAUACUGUUAUUAUUUCUGUUCCUGCAGAUAAUGAGCUGUUUGUGUUACACAACACAACAAUACAACUCUGAACUCUGCAGGUUAUAAGAGCAGAAGUUCUUCAAAUGCAGAAAAUUUAAGUUUUAUUAUGAGAUGAUUUCAAAACGUCCCUGUUGAACCAUCUCCACAUGUCAGAGCGAUAAAAAGAGAAGAACAGUUUCACUCUUUGUUUGGACCAAACGACUCAAGAGUUAGUAUUCGACUCAACAUCCCAACAAAAGGACUGUCAGAGGAAGUGGCUUCUGAGCGGGACAUGAAGAGCGCCGCCACGCUUUGAAUGAAAAAUGUGAAGCUGCUCAGAAUGACGGAGGUGACACCGGCAGGCUGCGCUGGACUCCCAACAGCUGUAGCCUUUCCAUGAAAUGCUAAAUAAACCUUUGAUGGAGCGAGAGGACGAGACGGAGCUGCAGGAGAAGAUUUUAAACAGACUGUGCGUGAAAUCAAGACUGUGAGCGUCAUUUCUGUCGGUACAUGUGUUCUGUCAGGUUUCGGACAAUCUGCACACGCACUGAUGCUGGUAUUUGCUCUGUGCGACUCAUGUUGAUGCUUCAGGAGCUUGUUUGUCUCUGUGUACAUUUCAUACAGCUUGUGUGUAUCCUCCACUCGCUGUGUAAUCUGGCUCGUGCCUGCAGGAGUGCAGGUGCUGCUGCAGUCUGUCUGUGCGUGAGUGUGUAACCUGGCCAGGGAUCCGUGCUGUGAUAAAGGGCCAGAUGCCACCUCAGCUCUGUGCCACAUGGAGGCAGACCAAAGCUGCUCCUGGACUCAGAGAUUAGAGAAUAACUGACUGAUAACGGCGAGGCAGAGAGGCGCCGCGAGCACGGAGAGCACGGAGACGGAGCUCAACCUACGGCCACGAAAGGCAGAAGCCUGUGAACGCCGCGGAGGUUAUUGACAGACAGCCAUUGAGUCAGUGUUGCAUCAGCUGAACUGCAUUGUGGGUACAUAAUUAUGCAUUGAUAUGGAGGCUGUAAAUAACAAGCAUACCUCCAGAGCGCUGAAGCUAUGCAAAUGUUUAUGUAAUACAUUUAAAAAACGCAACAUGUGUCGUGUAAUUCAUUUAGAAAGCAGAAUACAUCUGCAGUUUAUUACGGUAGAGUCAAUUAUAAAAGAUUAUAUAACAACAUUUGGAUGAAUUAGAGAGGAAAACGGCUUCAUGUGGGGAUUUAAAGGCUGAGGUGAAACAAACACCAACAAACCAACAGAGAAAAGAGAGAGAGAGAGAGAGCGCCUUGAUGACGCAACAGUUUACGUUCAUUGGCUUAGCUAACAUGUUUGUGCGCCUCCAGAUAUCACAGCGCGAGAUGGUCCAUAUAUCUUAUCGCUCUUCUUAUAGAGAGUAUCUCUGAGAAAACUGACUGACAGAAAAACAUCUGUCAGUCAGACACAUCAAACAACCUGCACCAGGUCGUCACUGAUGACCAUCCUGUUUGGUCAAAACAUGGAGUCUCUGGGGGUUAGUGUUAAAAUCAUGUAUUAAAAUUGAAAUGUGGAAUCACCUUGUGGCGCUGUUUGGUACUGCAGAAAUAAAGCAUUCAUUCAACUGGCUGUUACAAAUUCUAAAUUAGAAGUCAGAAUUCAGUUUUCAGUAAAAAUUCAGGGGGAAAAAAAGUCACGUCUUGAUUUGAUGACAAAUUUCUGCACUGAAGAGCCAGAAAUUUCGAAAAAAGUCAGAAAUUUGAAUUUUUUUGAAUUUUAUGUAAAAAUCCUGACCGACUUUAAAAUCUGAAGUCUGAUUAAAUUUUAGAGUUCUGACUUUAAUCCCAUUUGAUAAUUCUGAUUCAAUCCCAAAUUCUAAAUUAAAUCUCAGAAUUCUAGAUCCAAAGUCUGACUGUUAAACUUUAUGCUUUAAACUGAUAAAUCUGACCUUAAUCUCAGCAAAAUCACAUUAAUCUCUCUUUUUUUUUAAUCAGAAGUUGGACUUCAUCCGAGAAUUUUUAUUUUAACCUCAUUAUUCACUUUGAUGUCAAAAAUCUGACAAACAUCAAUUUCUCUUUAGUGAUGAAUAAAAUUCUCGUAUUUUAUUGUAUUUUAAAUCUCAGAUUGUUGACUUUAAUCUCGUUAAUCUCAUAAAUCUCAUUGAUCUCAUUAAUCUCUCAUUGAUCUCAGAAUUCUGACUUGAAAUUCAGAAUUUUGAAUCAAAUAUCAGGAUUCUGAAUUUAAUCUCAGAAUUCCAUUUUAAUUUAUGAUUCUGGCUUUAAACUCAGAUUUCGGAGAAAAAGUUAAACCAAAAAAAUGUGUGUCGUUUACUUUUUUAAAUGACUAUCAAUUGGCUUCAGUCCUUGCUGGAACACAGUGUUAUAUUUUGAAAAUAUAUAAUAUCAUAUAUAUAAUUAUAUUAUGAAACCCCAAAUCCUGCAGCUUCUGUCGAACACUAAUCUAACUCUAAACUCUAAUCAAGAGUUAAUUUGAACAACAAUCCCAAAGAGUCGUUUUAGACGUUUCUCCUUUUUGUUGUUUCACAGUGAAGCGCUCCGUCCUCUUUCAUGCAUUUAUUCUGCUUUUCCAAGACAGACUGAGGUUAUACAAACAGGUUAUUAGUUCUCUCAUAGAGUGAAGAUCGUCCAUAUUGCUAUGGAUACUGCGUACUGCUGUAACUGCAGGCUUUUAGCCCCUACACAUGUCCCUGUGGUUUUCCUAUAUAUCAGCUGUAAUGUACGUAUGAAGAGCAGCCGAACAGAGUGAUACUUACAGCAGGAACUGACUCUGUGUUUGUUCAGCUGCUUUUACAUUUCCCAUAUGAGCUGCACAUUAAAUCUGGAGGUACUUGGAUAUGAAUGACGCACUGAGACUCUUCAGAAAGGUCGCAGUGUGUCGAUAUGGAAGAGGACGGUCACCUUGUGCUGUAUGUUUUUUUUAAAGGUACAAUUUAUAUGAAUUCUUUUAAUGAUAACCCCUAUAUAUGUGUGUUUUUGCGGUCUUUGUUAGUAGUCCUUGACAUGGUGAUGCACAAUGUUUUUGGAAAAAAAACCUUCCCGUCUCAUUUUUUUUGCUCAGUCUUUCAAAUAUUUGUAUUCUCUCACAGAAAAGCUGAGCAUCCUUCACUCAACAUCCAAGGCUUACAGAGAAAGUCUGAUCUUGUUAAAUCUGGCCGUAUUUUGAAAUAUUUGGGAGUGUGAAUGGUUUCCAAACAAAAGAAGAUCGAAUAUUUGUGCUUUACUUCAGCUCUAGUGAAUGCUAAGUAGUCCAGGAAAAAACUGGGAGGCAUCAAAGGGGGCCCACAACAGAAACGGACCUUUCUACUGAAGGUAAAAUACAAGUUUUAUCAGGGCUGCUGUGGCUCAGAGGUGGUUUGAUCUCAGCUCCUACAGUCUGAAAGCUGAGGUGUUCUGGAAACUUGGAUAUGAAGGGAAAUGAACUCAAAGUUUUUUGUUUUUUGGUUAAAGGUGGGGUAGUCCGGAUCUGAGGAAGGUCCAGUUCUGAGGAAUGGGGCCCAGUCAAGGUGAAAGUCAAAAGCAUUGGUGCUACUGUAGAUGCCAACAGACUACCAGCAAACACAAUGUUUGCAGGACUUCUACAACGAGGAUAAAGUGACAUAGUCCAGGACCCGAGGGAGGACAGUUUAGCGAUGGCGCUACAACACGCUACAGCAGGUCCGUUUGACAAGAAACACUUCUGUUACAGACACUUGUCUUACUUUGUUAAAGUGGUUUACCUGUCCAGCAGAAAGGUUACAGGGUCACCAAGAUCCCCAAGCGUCCCCCAUGGUUUAUGUUGACCCGGCUUUUUAGCUCUUGUCCGGUCUACCUCCGUUUUAAGCACCCGUUAUUCCUCCAGAGUCUCCGGUAUUUAAUUUGUUUUCUUGCUUGUGUCGGCAGUCGUGGCCAAAGGAGGAUUCAGACAAUUUUCCGAACUUUCUGGUUGGUUUCUACUGUCCGAUAUUGUAGCACGCUAACUUUGUUUGGGCUCCUGAACGACACGGGGGAGCAGCGUUUUCUUGUUGACUGUUUUCUUGUUGACUGUUUUUGCUGACUGUUUUCUUGUUGACUGUUUUCUUGCUGACUGUUUUUGCUGACUGUUUUCUUGUUGACUGUUUUCUUGCUGACUGUUUUUGCUGACUGUUUUCUUGCUGACUGUUUUCUUGCUGACUGUUUUCUUGCUGACUGUUUUUGCUGACUGUUUUCUUGUUGACUGUUUUGGUGUUGACUGUUUAUGGUUGACUGUUUUCUUGUUGACUGUUUUCUUGUUGACUGUUUUGGUGUUGUCUGUUUUCUUGUUGACUGAUUAUGGUUGACUGUUUUCUUGCUGACUGUUUUCUUGUUGACUGUUUUCUUGCUGACUGUUUUCUUGCUGACUGUUUUUGCUGACUGUUUUCUUGUUGACUGUUUUGGUGUUGACUGUUUAUGGUUGACUGUUUUGGUUUUGACUGUUUUCUUGUUGACUGUUUUGGUGUUGACUGUUUUUUGCUGACUGUUUUGGUGUUGUCUGUUUUCUUGUUGACUGAUUAUGGUUGACUGUUUUCUUGCUGACUGUUUAUGUGUGAGUGUUUUCUUGCUUGUGUCGGCAGUCGUGGCCAAAGGAGGAUUCAGACAAUUUUCCGAACUUUCUGGUUGGUUUCUACUGUCCGAUAUUGUAGCACGCUAACUUUGUUUGGGCUCCUGAACGACACGGGGGAGCAGCGUCUGCCUCACAACCAAUCAGGUUAGAGGAGGUGGAGAACGGCUUUGUUUACAGUCAGAAAGAGCGGACCGCUCAAAAAUGUUCAAAUGUUGACGACACAGACAUAAGAGAACACAGAGAUAUCGAUAUAUUACCAAAUGUCAUCAAUAACUAGUAAGUAUUGACUGAUAUUAAAAGAUUUUUUAUCUAAACACCACAAAAAAAGAUGCUUCUUUAACGGAAUCCUGCCUACUCCAUCUUUAAGGGACCAAAAAUAAAAUAAAGAGAAAAUCACUAAAAAACAGAAUAUCUGCAUUUAUAAACAAAGAGAUAAUAAAGUGUACUGGCAGCUAUGGAAACUGGAAUCUCGACAAGAUGAGACUAAGAAGGGAAUCUAACAUACAUAACUACCUGUUCACUAUACAUUAUCUGGUUUACUGUCAGUCAGAGCGGCACCUUGUUAUCACCACAACCCUAACUAGGCUACAGAUCCUCCAAACAGAAUUCAGAAGUUUCUUUAAAGAGAACUAGGUCCUGUUUAAACAGCUGAAAACAUCAUUGAACUGACCUUUAAAAAAGAGACGAUAUAAAAGGUCAUAACUUCAAAAUAUUAUUUCUGCAGAAGGGAAACUAUCUGCUAUACUGUCAGUCUCUGAAUACCAAUCUGGAUCUGUCAGAGUCAAAUAUCAGCGCUGUGGGGGCGCUGUGAUUGGGCUGAUUACCCGGGAGGUUUCCAUUUGAGCCGUCCUGGUCUCAUAACUGUCCGUGUAGAAAAAAACCUAGAAUUAAUUUAAAAAUGGCUGAACCUUUCUCACAUUUACACCCUUAAUCAUGAAAAAAUGGCUGAUAGUUAAUGAAUCCAUGCAGCUGGCAGGAAACAAACCUGGGCCAAAGCCAUAUCUGAACAACACCGUUUAAAUGAUUAAAUAUCUGAAAAGUUUAUACCGUACAAUAAAACACAUAAACAACCAAAGACUAAUAGUGUUCGCCUUCUCAGUAGUUACCAAAUCAACUUUAUUACAGCUGACAGAAACCCACUUUUGACUUUCCAAACCCCCUCAGAGGGGGAAGUCCAAGUUCAGCAGCAGGCUUGUAGUAAAACGUGGAGCUCUGGCAGGACAAAGGCUCCAUCUGUCCAACAGUUUAUUAUUCAUUUCUUCUCUUUUUUCUUUGUUUCAGCGCUGGCUUGUAAACGCUGGAGGCCUGCGGGUCCUACUUUUCAAGUUUUAUGUUUACGUUGGCCUUCAAGCUACCGAUUCACUGGCAGUCAACAAGUACUUGGCUGAACUGAAGCGAUCUGGAGCCAAGCAAAAGAUUUGUUUGUCUGAGACAAAAACACGUUAUUCUUGUUUUAUUGUUUCAUUUUGCAAUAUAGCAAAGGCAGCACAUUAGGGCCGAAAGCAUUACUUUAAUUGGGCCAUCAUAGAGAGAUGUAUGAGUGGGUGGGCCUGUCUAUUGGUCAUUGCUGUAAUGGAAUGGACACAUCUUUUCAGAGUCGCCAGAUUGCAGGAUUUAAGUGGCUGCUAUUUCCUGGCUGGCGGUAGCUGCCGUCUAAAAAGGUUCAUUUAACCGAUGCUGAGUGUUCAGUUUUCUUCUUUCCUUCUGCUCCUCUCUGUGAUGGCUCCAUCCAUUAAAACAUGCCAGAGUGUGCCCAUUUCAACCUGUUUUACAUCCCUACAGCUCCACUCUCCUUUUUUAUUGCGUUAAUAUGGUUACUUAGGGGCAGGUCUUAUGGAUUUAGAGCCUUGACACUCUGUAUGUCUGCUUGAAAAUAAAUAUUGUGUCAGUACAAGGAUUAAAAUGUGCUUUAAUGAGCAAACAAAGCCGCACAUUGAUGCAGAAACACACACAGUGGUGAAUAGAUCCGUCCCCCUCAAACAGAUUCACUUUCACUUCAUCAUAAACAGCUCAGAUCAACCAGAAACAAAGUCUGGAAACACAAGGGAGUUCUUAUUGUGUUAUAGCAGCACAAACAAUCAAACAAGCACAGGUGGAGAGAGGAGAGCAGGGAGAGGAGAGAGGAGGAGGAGGGAGGAGAGUGUGUGUGUCUGUGUGUGAGUCUGAAAAGCUGAAGGACGGAACGAGCGCAAACACAGUUCUGACUGCUGGACCAUAAAAAUGUGAGAAACAUCGUUUCAAAUAUCAACCCAAGUCUCGACAUUAUGUCAAAGUACAAAAUACUUUACUACAAGUGAAAUCAGACAUUUGAUUUAGUGCGCAUUAUCUCCAAAAUACAACAAUCAAACUUUAUUUAUAAAGUGCUUUUCCUACAAAGAAUGUAGCACAAAAUACUUUACAGUUUGUUUAGAACAAAAACUAUCCCAUAUACACACGCACACACAGAGACAGGGAUAAACACACACACACACCAACACACCCGCACACUAAGAUGGUGGACAUGAGGCUGAGUCCAGAUGAUGAAGCCAAAGCUCUUAAGAUUAAGUAAGAAAGUGAUGUGUGGUCUUUUAGAGUUAUGGUUUAAGUUACCUUUAAAAAAAUGUUGUUAUCCAGUUUAACAGAAAGAAAAUGAUUGAUUUUAGGAGAAACUCUUCUUUUACACCUUUUGUAGUUUUUAAAAAAUACGUUUUUAGCUUUUAUCAAUAUCAAUCAAACAUUUUUAGUUAUAGUUUUAAUUAAUGAGCAGUCCUAGAGGCAAGCACUCACUCAAUCCCACAAUAUACUUGUUUAAAACUAAUUAAAAACUGUGAAUAACUGCUUUUAAACUCACAAACUUUGAAAUAAAAUAUUACACUCACCUGUUGUCACACUGAAUACUGUGAAUAAAGGUGUAAAUAUCCUCACUUUAAUCUAUAAAACUGCUUCAGUCUUUCUUUAUGUUCAAAAAACUUUAAAAUAACCUUUUUAACAUCCUAACGUCCCUCUGAAGAGACUCACCGGAUAAACUCUCACACUCACAGACAGAGGUUCGGUUUCUCUUCCUCCAUCCGCCAUCCUCGACAUUAUUUACGGUCAGUUUACCGACAAACACAGACGUUAAAAACUCAAACACGUGUUCAUAAAAGCCACUUUUACUCUCUGUUAAAGUUUAGAAAAAGUUAAAUAAACUUUUAAAGAUCUAACUUUAACCGGCGUCUUACCGGAACAGCAGCAGCUCCGCCAUGUCCGUCUUCAGGUGUUACACUAAUUACGGCCCCCCUGCAACCACAGGUAAAAGGAACCAUGGCUGUGUCUCAUUUCUUCUUCUUCAAAGGUGUUUAUUGGCGGUUGGCAAACCAACGAGAAGGUGCAUUACCGCCACCUACUGGACUGGAGUGUGGAGCAGUAAAUUGGUAGACAGAAAAAAUUGAUAAAUUAAUUAAAAAAAAAAAAAAAAAAAAAGGAAUUAGAUCCUCUCCAGUAGCCCCGAGUUUUUCAAAUAUGUCAUUAGAUGCUUGAUUACAAUUUCUGAUUCCAUUUACAUUUUCUUUUUGGCAACAAAUCUUCGUUUUCGGUGGUUUUCUCUUGUUCGUUGCUCAUUCUGCAAUCGUCGUUGUUGUUGUUGUUGUUAGCGGUGUUGUGCCGAGAAACGCAUGUCCUCCGAGAAUUGCAUGCACCUCGCAAAACGCGCACCGCUUAUAGUAGAGUGGUCCACGGAAGUGUACAAUUUAAAACCCAUACAGUUCUUAUUUGUUGGGCUUAACAGUCAGUGAAGUUCCAUAAAUAAUUCUCAGCGGACACUCGUCUCACUCCAUGUGCAGAACAUGUGCAGGGGUGGGUUUCCUCCUCUCUGAUUUUGAUUGACAGCUGGCAGGGUAGUCUGAUUGGCAACUGAGUAAAGGACAAAGGUGAUUGGUGGAUCGCUGCAAAGCACAUGCAGAGUCACAUGCAGUGUUUCUCAGUCAGCUACCCUUGAAAUUGACUGAGUUCAUUCACCUCCGACAUUGUAGGCUCUGAGAUGUGACUAUCGCACACACGUAAAUCGUGCAGGCCUACAAGAGAGAAAAAAAAACAUACAUUUAUCUGUCCGGUCCGUUUGGGACCCUUUCCUUCCGCAUUAUUGGGGACGUCCGCUGCUCAGCCCCCGUCCAUCCGCCGCCCCCCCUAUAAUCCCCCCAUAAACCCUUUUCCCCAUCGUUACUCUAAAGUUCAGCCUGCUCUGACUUCCUGUAGCAUAACCCCCCUAUUUUAUCUCUCUGGAAACACCGGGGGGGUAACCCCCCACCCCUGGGCUGAGCGGGUUUCGAACCAGGAGCCGGUCUUCAACCAGAACAUAUGGCUCACAUUAGGGUGUAGAUGUCUACCACACUGCGCCACCGGAGACCAUCCACAGUUGGGCAUGAGCUCUACGUGAUUUUAUCUUGGUACUUUUGCUCCUGGACUUUAAAAUUCAUCCUGAAUAAGGUUUGAAUCCAUGACGUCAGGAGUCCCAGUCAAUGUUCUUAUCCUGUGAGCCAUGUGGACACACAAGCCACAUGGCCUACUAGAAGGAUAUAGAGGUAUAAGUUUGUCCACCAGGGGGUGCCAAACUCCAGACAGAAGCUUUAAAUAAAUUAUUGCUAACUCAAUUCUGGAGUUAAAUCACUUUAUCCCUUUAGUACAUUCAUAGUACUUCUCAGUUAAUAAUAAUAAUAAUAAUAAUAAUAAUAAUAAUAAUAAUAAUAAUGAAGAAACCAAAAGCACAAAUAAUCAAAAAGAUUAGGGAGUUAACAUCAGCAGCGUUUUUCUUAAAAUAAAAGCAUGUAAAGCCUGAAUAACAUGCUAACAUAAGAAAAUAGAAUCGCUGCUUUUUGCACCAGCAGACGUAGCUUUAAAACUGGUCCCAGUGAUUUCCACAAUACCUGUUCCAGUCUAGAGUCUCUUUUGUCUGAGCUGUGAUACAAAAACUCUGAUAACCAGAGUUUUCUUCCUGCCAGCUGCUGACGAUAUCUGAGAAAUAAUAUUUGAAUGAAAAUAAAUAAUGGAUUCAAUCCCACAGGGAAACAAAUUUGGGUUCUUGUGGAGAGGACUCAAUUUAUUUUAACAUUACAGCACAUUAUAAUGGUCCCACAGGGUGACCUUAAUUCCACAGUCAUUUCCAUUUGCAAUUCAGAGAUAAAGCUCCACAGAGAAGAUACAGCCUGACCUUCAUCACUCAGCAAAACCUCGUUAGAAACCACAAAAUAACCCCGCCGCUGCAGUCAGACCCGUCUGAGCCGGCCUGAUAGAACUCCAUUCUUUUCAGACCGAUACACAACCUUCACUUCACAUUCAAACUCUGCAGCCGCUCUCCGGCUCAAAUCGACGACUUUUAAAACACAACAACCAACCAAUCUGAACAGAGUCGGUCCCUGCUGGAGUGUAACCUCGCUCCAAAUGUCAUGCAUGCAUCUUUCAUGCCGUGUUUCACCCAACAGUGUGUGGCACAGAUUAGGUCUGCUGCUUCUAUACGAGGCCUGUCGGUGGUGAAUAUGUAUGAGUGUGUAUGAGUGUGUGUGUCAGAGUCAGGAGUCAUAAAGAGGACGGCGUGGCCUUAUUGUUCUGAACACAUAUGAGGAGACGAGUCGGCCCUCCUCGCACCUUUGCGCUUGUGCAGGAGCUGCAACGGUGCACACUGAGCUGCUGCUGCUGUUCAGUCCGAGGAGGUGUCAACGUGUGACCCGGGGUUUGUCAGAAUACUGAUCCAGAACAUGUCGUACCUGGUUAAAGUGGCAUUUAAAGGUGGGGUAGGCAGGAAUCAGUUAUAGAAAUAACAGGAAUAUAACAUUAUUGCUGUGUUCUCUUAUGUCUGUGUCGUCGACAUUUGAACAUUUUUGAGCGGUCCGCUCUUUCUGACUGUAAACAAAGCCGUUCUCCACCUCCUCUAACCUGAUUGGUUGUGAGGCAGACGCUGCUCCCCCGUGUCGUUCAGGAGCCCAAACAAAGUUAGCGUGCUACAAUAUCGGACAGUAGAAACCAACCAGAAAGUUCGGAAAAUUGUCUGAAUCCUCCUUUGGCCACGACUGCCGACACAAGCAAGAAAACACUCAAACAUAAACAGUCAGCAAGAAAACAGUCAGCAAGAAAACUGUCAACAGGAAAACGGUCAACACCAAAACAGUCAACAAAAAACAGUCAACAAGAAAACAGUCAACAAGAAAACAGUCAGCAAGAAAACAGUCAACCAUAAUCAGUCAACAAGAAAACAGUCAGCAAAAAACAGUCGACCAUAAACAGUCAACACCAAAACAGUCAGCAAGAAAACAGUCAGCAAGAAAACAGUCAACAAGAAAACAGUCAGCAAGAAAACAGUCAGCAAGAAAACAGUCAACCAUAAUCAGUCAACAAGAAAACAGUCAGCAAAAAACAGUCGACCAUAAACAGUCAACACCAAAACAGUCAACACCAAAACAGUCAGCAAGAAAACAGUCAACAAGAAAACAGUUAGCAAGAAAACAGUCAGCAAGAAAACAGUCAACACCAAACUGGUCAACAAGAAAAUGGUCAACACCAAAACAGUCAACAAAAAACAGUCAGCAAGAAAACAGUCAGCAAAAAACAGUCAGCAAAAAACAGUCGACCAUAAACAGUCAACACCAAAACAGUCGACAAAAAACAGUCAACAAGAAAACAGUCAGCAAAAAACAGUCAACAAAAAACAGUCAACAAGAAAACAGUCAGCAAGAAAACAGUCAGCAAGAAAACAGUCAGCAAAAAAACAGUCAACAAGAAAACAGUCAGCAAGAAAACAGUCAACAAGAAAACAGUCCACACCAAAACAGGCAACAAGAAAACAGUCAACAAGAAAAUGCUGCUCCCCCGUGUCGUUCAGGAGCCCAAACAAAGUUAGCGUGCUACAAUAUCGGACAGUAGAAACCAACCAGAAAGUUCGGAAAAUUGUCUGAAUCCUCCUUUGGCCACGACUGCCGACACAAGCAAGAAAACAAAGUAAAUACCGGAGACUCUGGAGGAAUAACGGGCGCUUAAAACGGAGGUAGACCGGACAAGAGCUAAAAAGCCGGGUCAACAUAAACGAUGGGGGACGCUUGGGGAUCUUAUGGCUCCAGGUUGUCCUGAUAAAAACAUGGCUGUCACAUGGUUGUGUGUUUCUUUACACGGAGAGACCAGUCAGUAAAAUAAGUGAAGAAGGACUUAAAACCGCUAAAACGUGAAACAGCCUCACCAACAACACCAACGAUGAGUAUUCGGUCAGCUCUAUAAUCAGGAUGAUUAUUGGUAUUUUGAUCUAACCGGCUUCAAGACGGCAGAAUUUACCAUCCUUUAUAAAUAAUAACUGUUCUUUUCUUUUUCCAUCCUGGAUGUCCGUAAAUCUAAAAUUGUUACCUGACCAUUUUGAAUAAAAACAGACUUUCUCUGUCUCUCUCUUUUUUACCUGGUAUUUUUUAUUUUCCCUACUUUAAUAAUUUAAAAUGGCAGAACGGAAACUAAAGUCCUUUGUUUCGAUAUUUCUCCCAGUUUUGUUUCUCAUUUCUUAUUAUUGAAUUGUUUGCAUGAAGCAGUCCUUUUUUAUACUAUGAAGACCACUUCUCCAAAAAUGACUCCAUCCUUACUGAACGGAGCUGAACUGAAACAGACAGAAAAGCUCCUUUUUGAAGAACUUGUACACAAUAACAAUCACUUCCUGGUUAUUUCAAGUCAGAUAAUUCUGAGAGUCAAAGAAAACUUCAGGAAGAAGGUUUUUUUUUUUUUUCAUUGGAGGUAUUUUUGGUGAAGGCUCCGGAGGGAAGGUGAAGACGGGGCCGUUUUAGUAGGCCAGGUCUAUUCUGGGUUAUAUGGAGAACAAUGUUUCUCCAAUAUUUCAUCUGAAUAACAGAUGGAGAGAGGGAGGUAUAGGGGGAGGAGAGAGGGGUGAGCGGGGCGCUGGAACUCACCCAGAACAUAUCAUAAACCCAACAGCAAGGAGUCGAGCGUGGAAGUAGGACUCGGGUUUGUGGUGAAGAAAAAAAACCUACAAAGUCACCUCACAACCGCGUGUCUCCUCCUUCUCCUCCUCCUCCUCUUCUUCUUCACUCGCUCUUUUUAAGGUGGAACUGAGAAACGUCCUUCGGUCCUGCACAGACAGAAAUAACUGAGCUGUUUGUGAAAAAAGAGGGAAAAUCAUCGUCAUCAUCAUCGUCAGAGUUUAGAGGAAGAACUUAUGAACUCUGUUUCAAGCUAACUUUGUUUGGGCUCCUGAACGACACGGGGGAGCAGCGUCUGCCUCACAACCAAUCAGGUUAGAGGAGGUGGAGAACGGCUUUGUUUACAGUCAGAAAGAGCGGACCGCUCAAAAAUGUUCAAAUGUUGACGACACAGACAUAAGAGAACACAGAGAUAUCGAUAUAUUACCAAAUGUCAUCAAUAACUAAUAACUAUUGACUGAUAUUAGAAGAUUUUUUGUUUAUAAACCACAACAAAAGAUGCUUCUUUAACAGAUUCCAGCCCACCUUUAAUUAGGUCUAAACUCCUGACAUGCAUUACAGCCAAAAACCCUCAAAUCAAAUAACUGUUUUAACACUUUUAUGAUCGUUUUAUGUUCUUACUGGAGUUUUUAAAAAAAUGCACAAACUACCGCUGGGUGCAGCAAAAAUAAUCCAGAAGUAUAAAAUAGAUGGUCUGCAUUCCAGGUCAUAAAUAUUUAAGCGGUGAUUUAUAACAGCGAGAGUUUGAUCUAUUGUUGUAGCUGCUUGUUUAAUUCAAGAAGGGCACAUAAAGCCGUGUACCACACACGCUAUAAUGUGAGAGAGACUGAAGGGAGAGGAGGGAUGAGAAGUUUCUGAAACAGCAGCAAACAUUUCAUUUAGCCGCUUAGUUUCCUGUUUACUCGGCUCUGAAGGUUACAUCUUGUCUGACUGCGUGCACACGUGCGUCAAUCAUGUUCCAUUUUUAGCUCUGGUGCUGUUUUUCAUUAAUUCAUCUCUUGUCUUCUCGCUGCGAGGAAAGAAAAUCAAAGGGAGAUGAAAUGCUUUCAGGGCGCUGGGAGACGUCGGAUGUUGUUACUGAUGCGGCGUGUCAAUUAUCUGUGUACAGUAAGGAUGCACAGAGAGCAACAGGUCAGGGGACUGUUGUCGCUCCGGUUUGAUCUGCCUGCAAACAUGUUCAUCAACACCAUUAUCCAGAGAAAGAGACCAGGAUCCAUCUAGAAACAACACGAAUCACAUAUCAUUCAAGAGUGAGGACAGGGAACAGAGAGAGGUAUGAGUUAGAACGGGACUUUAACAAGUUAAUUGUGAUUAAUUAAUUACAGUGAUGUUUCUUGUUAUGAAUAUUAAACCAUAUUAAUCACACCUCCUGUUUUUUUGCACUGUGGAACGUUUCCCACUGAAAGAGUUUCAGGAAUACCGCUUAUACUGGCGCACCCCAAUGUGUGUGAGUCGCGGAUGAAUGUCAUAGCGCCAAUUCACAACAGUCGUCAUCCCAAAGAAAGAGCAGGUCCAGACCCAAUCAACAUGUCAUCUGAGUUUGGUUGCAUUCAUACUCGGGCUGGGACUCGGUUAAAAAAAUCUGAAAGUCUGAUUAAUCAGAGGCUUUGUAAUUAAUUAAUCGCAAUUAAUCGCAUUUGAUCGAAGGUGCUUUGAUCGGCUCCGGCGUGGAUGGCCAAAAGAAAGGCAAAAAGAAUUUGCAAAUCCACGCAGCCCGUCAAGUCUGCGGUAUCACCUGAAUGCUAAACAUGUUGCUGCUAGUGUGGAAGCUAGCGUUAGUCUGACUCCAAGUACACGACCCAAACCAAACCCACACUCGACCAGACGAGUGGAUUCAGAGCUAAGACGAGUAAGUUCAUGUCGGAAAAAUGAACAAACUUUCCAGGAUGAUGGAGAGGCGGAGCAGGAGAUUGACCAAUAGGAGCUGUCCAGGACGGAUGGCUCCCAUUGGUCAAUAUUUUUGCAGCCCUGCACCUGAUAGGGUGAACAAAUUUUUUCUGUUCUUUUUUCUCUUCACUUUGUGGAGAUCGCACUAAAGGACCAUGAUCGCCAUAGAAACAAGGUUCAUCCUAAUUAACAAUCUCUCCAAUCUUCACCCGUAUUCAUUUGGUUCACUAUCCAUUGAUUCGCUCAUAAACCGUUAAAAAAAAAGAUUGUCUCUGUUCUCAGGUCAAAUAUUUAUAUGCGAUUAAUUGCGAUUAAUUCAUUACAAAGCCUCUUUUUAAUUAGAUUAAUCGUUUUAAUGGAGUCCCAGCUCUGGUAUAAAUUCAACCAAACUCUGUCAGGUAAAGUUUCCUCCUCUUUAAGAAGAAAAUGAUGAAGUUUGAAGGUUUUUUUCCCUGAAUUGAGCUGAAGUUAGCUCCAUGAGAGAACGAGAUCCUCUGCAUAAUGAAAACUCGGAGACGACCUGGGACUCUCUGGGGUUUAGGUCUGGCAUAUAGAAACUAAUUGGUCCUCGUCUAUCUCUUUCUCUUUGCCUCCAUUAGUGUGUGUGGGACGAUAAAGUGCUCCAUCACAACGGGGUUUGGAUGAAGUCGGAGCUGAUGAUGAAGCUGCUUUUAGGAAGGCACACAGACACAGACAGACGGGCGGGCGGGCGAGCGCUUAUGUGUGGGAGGAAAGUGAAAAGAGCAGAGUGAAUUGGCAGAGUUAUGAGCUCUGAUCGUAGUGGAGUGUGACUCUGACUGUAUGAGUGCAGGUGCUCAAACGGGACUUCAUAUGGGAUUUAUUUGAGCAGAGGAAAGUUCUCUGAAAGCAGCAGCAGCAGCAGCCGGGUUACACCAUCAGUCCAACUUUCAGAGUUGAAAAGUUGCUGCCUAGAAGUCACUUUUUCCUUCCUCAUGACGACCUCGAUUUGAAACUCCCUUUGGCUGCUCCAGGAUUGAUUCCUCUUAUAUUUCUCUGCUUUGAUUAAAACCAUCCCUCAGUAAAAUAAAGAAAAAGUGCCAACCAAACAUUAGCAGGUUUAAAUAUCAUCUACUCAGGCCUCUAAUUUAAAACACGAGCAGCUUUUUCAGACACGCGUGGAUCACACGUCUCUGUUAUGGAUUAUCUGGGUGGUCUCCCCAAGAUCACCCUUCUUCAGUACUGUUGUGUGUGUGUGUGAUUGGGGUGUGGUCUGGUCAGGUGACCUGCUGCAGUCAGGUGAGCAGAGGUGUGAAGAAGGGGGGAGGGGCCAGAAGGAGAACAAUGGAGGAGCAGGAGGACAUGUUUGAGGAGAGAUUUGGAUGGUUCUCUGAUCCUGACUGAGGAAACCCAGGACACAUCUGGAACUGCAGGUGAUCCUCAACCAUCCCUGACAUUGGACCAGGAAGUGGUGGAACUGUGAGGAAGGGUCAGAGAGAGCAUGCCAAGGACUGGUGAGUCUGCUACUUUUGGAUUACUUUGGUUUUUUUCCCAUUGCAUUGCUGACAUUUCCUUUCUGGGACUGUGGAGGACGAGUUUUUGUUGGACUAGGCUGGAUCAGGACCAUACCUUUAGACAUUUUGGGGGACUGUAAAAGUUGGGACUCCUACUUUUGGUUUUGAUGACUUUUGGGUUUACAAGUUUUUUUUAGACCUAAUUUCAACCGUCUAGAUUCUGUAUAUUUCAGCUGAUUUGUAAGAAAGUAAGAUGGGCGUCUACGACAAACGUUCAUCUGCUUGUUGCACCAUCAGCGAUCCGACUACUUAAUAAAUAAAUGUCAAGUGUCCAGAAGUGUUCUCGGUGUAGAAAUAAUAACACGAAAUAUAAGAUAACAGAUUUUGAAGGACAUCUAUAAAUAUGAGCUCUUCAUUAACACAGAGAGCAGAGAGUCCUGAGGAUAAUGACUCACUUUAUGUAAAUUCUUUGACUUCUGAAGGACUUGUGAGGAUUUGACCCUCUGACCUCUUGGGCCCCGGGAUGACACAGUUAAAUAUUCAUGACCGUCUCCUGUCUGCGUCUGUCUCCCUCUCUGUGUUUUAAAGUCAGACUUUUACUCCGAUGAGCUCUAAGUUUGUCCGCCCGCUUUACUCCUCGCUGUAGUUCCCUGGAUUAAAACAUACCUGCGUGUUUGUCACUGAUUGAUGUCGGAAAGCUCGGCGUGUGUCCCGAGGCGACCGUCGGCGCCGUUUUAGCAACACGCCGCAAGACAAAUCCAAUCAGCUUCCACGCCUCCCUGAACAAGAGGCUCCGUGAAAACAGCUGCUUUUUAUUCACCGCAUCACAUGACCACGGGUUGAUUUAACUUCCUGUCAUCUCUUACAAACCGCAAUCAAAGCCUUUCCAACGAGCCUAAUGAAACACAGAUGGCAAAUUUCGGUUGAUGAUAUAGACGAGAAAGCAACAAAAUCAGCGUCGGUCUCAGGGUGUGCAGAGAGAAACGUUUGUUUUUAUGAGCGUGUUGUUUGUUCUGAGAUGAUCCACACUUAGAGGGAUGGUGUAAACAGACUCCUCAGGACCACUCUGGGUUUUCUAAAGCUUCACCAACAGCCUUGGUCGACCAUGGAAACAUGCGCCGAGCGUCCUCUUCUUCCCUCGCUCUCUCUUCUCUGCAUCAUCUCUUUUGUGGCUCUUUCCCUCUUCAUGCACUGACCUCCUCAUCUUGCUUUUAAAGUACUCGUUGCUUGUUGUAUCCGGCCUUCCUGUCAUCCUGAGACAUUGAACUGAUGUCUGUUAUGAUCCUGAGCUCAGAGGUGGAUGUGUUUGUGUUCCUGCGCUGUUUUUAACCUCUUUAGGAGCCACGCCACUCACCCUGCUUCUCUGUUCAACCUGCUCCAACUCUCAGCGUAAAUAUUUUCGAUAUCUCUGCCGUUGUCUCCUCCGACGUCUCCCUUCUUUUCGUCUUUGUAACAAUGAAAGUAUAUUUAACUGCUGCUGCACAAACUAGACCAGCUCAGACUCAAGGCUGGAACAAACACUGGCGAGCAAAGAUAUUAGGGCUGAAACGAUUCCUCAAAUACCUCGAUUACAAAUAAUGAUAAAGGAAUUUUCUCCGCCCUUAAAUCGUCACUGUUUCGCACGGAUUCUUUUGAAGGUGACACAAUGCGCUCACGUCACCACAGUAGAAGGAGGAGUAAGCGCUGUUUAGGUUUUGUGAAGCGGAAAACAUUGCUGGAGUCGUAGCAGAAGCAGGUAAAAGGAGUUAUUCAACUCUCGGACACUAAUGUCUUUAGGGGCGUGAUAAAAGUUAGCAUCAUAAUUAGCUUUCUUACGAGCAUCGCAGUCCGCUAACCAAAUGCUUGUUCCACGAGUCGCCUCUAUUUCUCCGAGUCUGGCCUUCAUUGCAGGACUAUAGGAAAUCUAACUGUAUGUGAGUCUGACGUUUGGGUCCGAUCACUCGAGUAAUCGAUAGAAUAUUCGGUAGAAUACUCAAUUACUAAAAUAUUCGAUAGCUGCGGCUCUAAAAGACAUUACAGUCUCUUUAUACAGUCUAUUUUUAUCUGUGCAAUUCUUCACCCAAACACUAGUUGGCAGUGAAAUUUCUACGCUUUAGCUUGGUAUUUGUUUCCAGGUCUGGGACGCGCCAAAAGAGAGCAAAGUUGACCAGCAUUGACGGGCAGUAACGCGUAAUCCAAGGGUGGAGAAUUGACAGAGAAUGCUAGGGACACGUCCCGACCAAUCAUCAGCUGCUACAGUGUAGUCCCUAUCAAAACAACCACAACCAAUGAUUAAUGCACACAAAGGGUUAACAGUCGGUCUCUGUUGGAAGUCCCGCCUCUAACCUAAAUGUCGCUCUUCCAUUGGCUGCCGGUUUCUCGCUUACAUACAUGUGAUUGGCUGUCCCCGCUGUCACUACAUCUGCCUGUAAAACAACAACAACAACAGCAGGUCGGUGUCAGACGUCAGAAGUAUCUACAACUGCUGCUGGGCAUGUUGGAGAAACAAGAAGAUGGAGCAUCGUACAGCGUUGUUUUUGUCCGACAUGAUGGACGCGCUACUUUUUCUAAAGAGGAGACGCACGCUACUCCUCGUGUUUUUGUUCCAGGGUUACGGGGGCGUGGCUCACGCGCACUGUGAGCAUUGUCUGAUCAUACUCCGACUACGCUGGUUACAUGGUAGAGAAAAUCGGAUUCCAAUCACAUUAUCUAGGUGUCUUAGUUUGAGUUCUCAAACUUGGAUUAUAGUCGGACUAAGGUGUUUACAUGCACUUCAGUUGUCUGAUCUUUAUCGGAGUAAGGAAUAAUUCAUUUUUCUUGAGUGUCGUGUAAACAUCCUGACUGUAUCUUGCAGUGAUUAAUAUGGAGUAUACAUGUUCUGUAAACCUGAUGCAGCUCCUCUGAGCUGUUUUGGAGCCGAGUUUGUCGUUUUCAGCAGUUUUUGUUCCUCUUCUUUGUGGGAGUCGCAUCGAUACGAAGCAUCUUCAACCGGGAACAGGACAGAGUGUUCACAUGGUCGUUAAGCCCACACUGAUAUACGCUGUACUCGCUGUUGCCUGGGUUUUAUUACCAAGUCCCAGUCUCUGCUGAGUAGUUUGGGAUGGUACUUCAUGAGGCCUACCCUCCAUGUGAGCACACAAAUCCAGCUGAAGUGCUGAGACGGAGGGCGUUUGAGAGAAGCCCUCAGCUGUACGAGCCACGCUGUUCUGUCCAGUGUUUGUCGUUCCUAAUAUCAUAAUUGUGGGGGUUUAUGAGUACAGAAACAAUGUCCUGCUGAAAACAAUGACAGCUGUCAGCUUGAAGCUCCAGUAAGUGGCUUUAAUUUUCAGAAAGCACAUCAACAGGCCUCUAAAACCUGCUCUUCUCUGAGAACAAACAGCUCUCUUGAAAUAAGAGUGAAUGAUAAAAUGAAAACAUGUCUGCUCUACACAAACAACACACCUCUGAGUAAACCGAACCAAGAACAAGGUCACCGUGUUAAUCUGACGGAAACAGAAAAUCUCUCAAUUGGACUCAGUUAAUGAAGCUUUAAGAGGCAAUAAGAGAUAAAUAACCAGGAGAGGUCGGACCCCCCCUGCUUCCUACUCUUCACCUUGACUCUGCUCUAAAUUAUUCAAAUUGGACUUUAACGACAUCUUUCAUGACUUCCAACUGUAUGCAGAGAUGCAGGUGCUAAUCAGUGUUGAUAAUAAAUUGUAAUGUCAACGACUUAUUAUGCUGAUAUAAUCCUCAAACGCCUGGGGAUAAUAAAUCGGGCUCCUGCGUGUUCCUGCCAAAGAAGGCUUGAAAAGUCGCAUUAAUUAGCGGCGAUAAAUCUGGCUCGUAACUUUAAUAAUGACCUUGCCUCCACUCUUUGUCUUGCAGGGAUCAGUGAUCUCAGUCUGGUCUCUGAUAAUAUUGUACCGGCUCAGGUAUUACAGCGUCAGCACUAUGCAAAUCUCUCCAUUAAUGCCGGAAUAAUGUGGUCGGGAAUGCUUGAUUAAUUAAGUCCGGAAAAAAGCUGACAUCCCGGUGUGUGUCGCAGGUUUAUGAUGAGGAUGUAAAGAACGGUUUCUGAUAAGGACGCAGCAGGAAGAUAACGAGCUGGUGUGAUAACGAGCUGUUGACGAUAACACAGUAAAGAGACUCUGAAAGACUGAAUACUCUGCUUUAUAUGAGGAUUAAGAGUUCGUCUGUUUGAGCGUUUGAGUCACAAACUUUGCUUCAUUUUAGCUACUGUCCCUUCAAGCCCUGUCAGCGUUCUAGAAGCUUCCUUCACUGUUGUCAUGACACAAAGUUGUUUUUUACCUUUUUAGGGAGAUUCACUGACCGGUAAAGUCAUGAUGUAAGCAGAUCUCAUUUUGGUCUCACUUAAUUUUAGUGUGACUUUUUCGGAUUACUGCGACACACAAUUACCUUAAAUCUGAAACUUUACUCAUGUAGUUUUGACGACCAACAGACUGACUUAAAGGGAUAUUCCAGUGUAAAUUCAAGUUAGGGUCAAACACGCCGUAACACAGAGUUAGACCCCCCCUCCAGAGAUGAAUGUUGCCGACCGCUUGCUUCUCUACUUAUACCAACUUUAGUCACGACCGCACGACAGCAAUACACAGCGGUCUUCGUCUCCACAAACGCCACUCUAUAGCCACAAAUAAUGCUCAGAACAGCACCUAACUUCAUCAACAUCUUUUUAACUUUGAAUAAUUUCUUUAGCAGAGAGACUAAACACAACUCACCUACUCUCUUCCAGCAGCUGUUUGUUUUAGCGAGACCCCUGACGAGUCGAUCACCGAGUGCAGCGGAUCAUUUACAUGACGUAAUAAUCAUCAAUUUGUACGAAUCGGUUCUUUAGCUGACUGCUCAAACACAACCAGAGAAGGAGAACAUUUAUUUAUGUCACAUGAGAAGUUGAACAGCGCUGGACUCGGGAUGACAGAGCUCCAAGGAUCUCCAUCACAAGUGACCGUUUCCGGUAUCAUUCAGAUUUAUCUUCUGGACAGAGGUUGGACUUAAACACAACUGAGUAUCACUGGCCAGUUAUCUCUAAGAUAAACAGGCUAACCACUGUUCACAUGAUUUUACUAAAAUGUGCUCUGAAGUAUAUGUGUUGUUGACCUUUACGUGUGUAACUACUGCUGCAAACCGGUCCAACAGAACAAAGGGAGCCUUAUGGCUCAUCAGGUUUCUCCUUAUCAAGCUAGACGUCACACUGUUCUGAGUAAAUGUAAACAUCCAGUAAGUUGAAUUAGUUCAGUGAAAAAGAGCAAAUCUAACCUAAAGUGAAAGACAAUAAUAUUUUUCUCUGCAGACGCGGUAGUUCUUCUGUCUUAGCGUCUCGGUCUGAUUGUAUUUCCAUGAAGAAAUGAUCAUAAAUGUUCUUCCUUGAGCUGCGAAACUCCACUGCACUCAGUGAUCGACUUGUCAGGGCUCCCCUACAAACAAGCGGCUGCUGGAAGAGAGUAGGUGAGUUGUGUUUAGUCUCUUUGCUAAAGAAAUGAGUCAAAGUUAAAAAGAUGUUUGGUGUCUAGUACUAUGGCUGUGACCCUAUAUGUCCUGUUGAUGAAGUUAGGUGCUGUUCUGAGCAUUAUUUGUGGCGUUUUGGUUGAGGUUUGCGCGUUGUCGAUGUAGACCGCUGUGUUUUGCUAUCCUGCGGUCGUUACUAAAGUUGGUAUAAGCAAACGGUCAGCAACAUUCAUCUCUCUUUAAAGUUUCUAGUGUUACAGUAUGUUUGACCAUAACUUAAAUUUACUCUGGAAUAUACUUCAACAGUUUGGACUCGUCUCGUCUUGUCUUGUUGUGCAUGAGGAAUGAGGUGAACUCGAUGCCUCCAUGAACCUUCAUUCUUUAUGUUUGCUGUGUCUUUGUUUGUCUGCCUGGUUGGUCUAAAAUGUCUCUGUUACCUCUUAAAUUCGCUCUCACAGGUCGCUCGCUCAUUUCCGUCUGAAAUAGCUCAGCUUUCUCUCACAACUUGCAGGCUGCAAUUUCGAGCACUCAGUGUAAUCAAAUAUAAUUACAGAAAAUCUGUGCAUGAAUUAUUCCUAUUUAUGUGCGUCUGCCGGUCUCCACACGGCGGCCAUCGUUUGAGAUUUUUCCAAACCGUGGCCAGGACGUUUUGUGUCGCUCUGCAAGCCCCUCCAGUUUCAUCAGAGUUUUAUCUCUCUGUGCAGAAAACGGAGCUCAUUCACAUGAAGAAAUGUGUCCUGAUAGCUACAAAUAACAGCUCUGACAGUGGGUGCUCCUGUGCACUGCACUAACAGAGGAUUUAUGUCAGGGUUUGUUGUUUAAAUGGCAUCAUAUUUUUAUCAUCCGAACCUCUUCUGAGCGUGCCGCAGCCGCCGAACCCACACAGCUACACCCAGAGAUCAUCUAUUAAAGACAUUUUAUGCUACAGCCAGCCGAAAUAAAUCUCCAUGAAUGACAGUCCAGAUAAAAUCCUACAUCACACAACAUGCCGUGUGAGGCGAUAAUGAUGAAUUUUACUGCGAGAGAGAAAAAGCAAUAAGAGGCUAAUUUCACAGAAGAAUCUAAAGAAAAAAGCAGCUGUUUCUGUUUAAUAACGUUGUGAAAUCGUCUUUAUUCUGACGUCGUUUUCGUUCGUCCCUCUAAAGGGAGCAGCAGGAGUUUACAGGUGUUGUGUUGUUUACAAAAUUAGCUGAUUGUGAAUAUUAAAUCACAGCUCUGUUCAUCACUAAUGCAGAGCUGAGCUGGUUAAGAUGCACAGAAUCAAUCAUCUAAAUGGGAGCAUGAAGGCGGAGAGUGCGAGAGUGCGCCGUCUAAUGAGUUGAACCUGCGGAGGGGCUCACCGCUCACCUCAGAGAGUGAUGAAACCGUCUUUAACACACAACAGCUGUUUGAUCCCCUAACCUAAAAAAAUAAGAUCACUACAGGAUGUACAGAGAGGUGCUGCUUCUUUAAGUCAAACAACAGGUGAUCUGCUUCUGUCAGACCAAAAGUGGAGAUCCAUAUCCUGAAACCUCAUGAAGCAUUUUCAAAACCCCCAAAAAUCAACAAUCGAGCUUGACAAGUCUGCGAUCAGGUUUCGAGAGUCCCAAAAGUGAAGAUAGAGAUGAUAAAAAAUGUAUUUUGUGUUGCAAAGUAAUGUAUUGCUAGGGGGAACAAAACGUAGAGCACAUCAGAACGAGCAAAAGCGCAGAACCCUGAGAUCAAAACUAUAGACUGUAUAUAGAAAGGACGCCAUCUGCCUCCUCGCCGGGUGAAGCCUCAGCCUGUUUGAGCCGAGUGUCACGACAGCAACUCUCCACGACUCUCCCGCCGAAUGCGCAUAACGCUACUGCGCAAUGUUGGUUUCAGGAAGUGGAGAAAAAAUCGCGGAAAUACCGAGAGCUUUUUGGCUUCAAAUCUGGAUACUGGCAGAAGGCGGAAUACAGAUAGACCGUAGACCACACACAACAGUUUUUAGUCUCAUUCAUGAAACGCUUAAAUCGGGGACAUUUUCGAGGACAGCUUUUGGAAAUCAGGGAUGUUUGGUCACCUUACUCUACGCGCUUGUUCCUCUAAAGAUGAAAGAUGACUCUACUUUCGAUGGAGCAUGCACUGAGCAUGUGUCUAUCUUCACAGAGAAGACCGUCAUAGACAGGAAGUCAAACACAACAAUCACAGAAUAAAAUCUAAAUUAGCCGCUACGCUCCAAACGCUUCCAGUGGGCGAUGACGCACAUUGUCCGAGGGAGCCGGGACGCACCCAACACAGAUCCUGUAGGUUUUCUGCUUUUGACUUUCUGCAGCCUGAAACAACUCAGCCAACUACAUCUGCAACUGCUCCAGGGUUACGAUCCUCCUCUGUCCGGAUAGUCAAACAUGUUAACCGAAUGUUGAAUUCAGUGGGAUAGAAGCGAGUCAGCUAACUAAACCAGUGACACAGGAUUACACAGAGAGACGUUCAGGGUCGGGUUGGUAAAAAGAGAAUUUAGUGAUGUGUUCAGAGGACAAAAAAAAAAAAUCUGUUAAAGGUUAAAAGUUAAAACAAACUAGAACAGACUCUGUAAGAACUUGGAUCAGGAAGGAGUCUCAAUGAUAGUGUCAGUAUGGAUAAAAAUUAAACUCUUGUAUCUGCAGAAAUAAAACAAAAGUAAAAAUGCUUGGUGGUUAAAUAAGUGAGUCUACCUUCUCUCCUAUUUUUCCUACUUGACAGUUUACACAGGUAUUAAAACUUGACGUAAAACUCCGACUCUGAUCAGGAUUUAUGAGGUUUGUCUGAGCCGACCAAACGGCCUCCAAUCUAAACACAUUUCCUCUUUGUUCUGUUUCCUUAAUCGACCCCUCCUGAUGCUAAAAUUAACUCUAAAUGGUAACACCACCCCGUCUGCCUCCUGUCCACCUGUUGUAAAGAGCGCAGCAGGCAGCAGGUCAGAUCAGGCAGGUAAUCGUCUCAUCAGCUCCAGCCUGAAUCAGCUCCUCCAACAUGCUGAUUUUCCGCUGUGGUUAAAAAAGCUCGCUGUACCGCUGAGCGGGAUUAGAGAGGAGCGAACCAACGGAGCGUGCCGGUGCAUUUAAGUGUAUCAAUUCUGAAUCUGAUUAAUCUUUCCUUUGCCAAUCCCAACGACACCAUCAGGCUGGAGUUUCUACGCUGUUGCAUAUUCUGAUCACCCAAACAUUUAACUUUUAUGUCAGAGCACGGCUCGUGUUGUUUGUGUGGACUACAGAGAAGUUUCAGAGCCGGGGAUGUGAGAAAAACAAGAGGUGGAAGUUUUUUUUAUGAUGCAUUUAAAGAAGAAAGUCAGGAAGUGAAAAAAAACAUCAAAUUUGGUUUAUGACGGAGCCUAGAUUGAUGAUUGAUCAACUAAAUCCCUCCGAGCAGCCAGAACUAAAGGGAUGCACGAUUUUCAAGAUCCAUUUGGUGAAUUUCGUGGUGGAUCACAAGAACCCGCGGAUUCACGUGCAACUGCGUGAUAGCAAAUUGUCUUUAGCUGCAAAGGCUAACUAUAAAAGCAGUAGAUUGUGUCCUUCCAGAGGAGGAAAUCUACUUCUAGACUUCUAGAAUCAGCAUCUCCUCAUCCAUGGUGUCAUCGGGGUGAAAUGACGUCUAAAAACCUUUCACUUGUUCGUCUCCGCCCGUUUGCAUGGUGUGAAAUACGAUCCUCCUGAAACACGGAGUGUUUUAUUUUGAAAAGAAGCCGGAUGUUUUAUUUUGUGUCUGUGCCCGACUUCCUUUCCAGCACGGGUUAAUCUGUGCUGAAUUUAUCCGCCAUGCUCCGGCGUCCAGAAAAAAUAGAACUCUUGUGAUCAGCUGAGGAGUCCGGCGAUCCUCAGAGGAACGGAAAGAAGUCGGUGGAAAUUGACACGUUAACUUGAAUGGUUACGAUCAGCUACGAUCGGAGGAUACGACCUUUUCGUAG
This 37114-nucleotide long non-coding RNA is filed under the name Xyrichtys novacula (pearly razorfish). Lineage: Eukaryota; Metazoa; Chordata; Actinopteri; Labriformes; Labridae. The record is from RNAcentral.